UGCCGCAGGCAACGACCCGAAGGGCGAAGCGCGCAGCGCUAGUAAUCCUUCCCCCACCACCA
RNAcentral lists this small RNA (62 nucleotides) under Escherichia coli. RNAcentral describes it as "partial RtT sRNA". It matches the Rfam family "RtT RNA", at positions 69 to 130 of the family's 130-position model. Rfam says of the family: This family represents a bacterial cis-regulatory element known as RtT RNA. The record is from RNAcentral. Lineage: Bacteria; Pseudomonadati; Pseudomonadota; Gammaproteobacteria; Enterobacterales; Enterobacteriaceae.